UCCUGGCUCAGAGCGAACGCUAGCGGCGAGCUUAACACAUGCAAGUCGAGCGGAGGGUUUCGGCCCUCAGCGGCGGACGGGUGAGUAACACGUAGGUUACGUGCCCUUUGGUGGGGAAUAACUUAGGGAAACCUGAGCUAAUACCGCAUAUGCCCUUCGGGGUGAAAGUCUUCGGACGCCAGAGGAUCGGCCUGCGGCCCAUUAUUUAAUCCUUGUUGGUGGGGUAACGGCCUACCAAGGGUACGAUGGGUAGCUGGUCUGAGAGGAUGAUCAGCCACACUGGGACUGAGACACGGCCCAGACUCCUACGGGAGGCAGCAGUGGGGAAUAUUGGACAAUGGGGGAAACCCUGAUCCAGCUACGCCGCGUGGGUGAUGAAGGCCUUCGGGUUGUAAAGCCCUGUCGAGGGGGACGAAGUUCUGACGGUACCCCUCAAGAAAGCACCGGCUAACUCCGUG
Molecule: ribosomal RNA, 458 nt
Filed under: uncultured bacterium
Lineage: Bacteria
Description: bacterial SSU rRNA
Rfam family: Bacterial small subunit ribosomal RNA
Source: RNAcentral